This 431-nucleotide ribosomal RNA is filed under the name uncultured bacterium. RNAcentral describes it as "partial 16S ribosomal RNA". It matches the Rfam family "Bacterial small subunit ribosomal RNA", at positions 29 to 507 of the family's 1533-position model. The record is from RNAcentral.
AACGAACGCUGGCGGCAGGCCUAACACAUGCAAGUCGAGCGCCCCGCAAGGGGUGCGGCCGACGGGUGAGUAACGCGUGGGAACGUACCCCUAUCAUCGGGAUAGCUCCGGGAAACUGGCAUUAAUACCGAAUGGGCCCUUUGGGGGAAAGAUUUAUCGGAUAAGGAUCGGCCCGCGUUGGAUUAGCUAGUUGGUGGGGUAAAGGCCUACCAAGGCGACUAUCCAUAGCUGGUCUGAGAGGAUGAUCAGCCACAAUGGGACUGAGACACGGCCCAAACUCCUACGGGAGGCAGCAGUGGGGAAUAUUGGACAAUGGGCGCAAGCCUGAUCCAGCCAUGCCGCGUGAGUGAUGAAGGCCUUAGGGUUGUAAAGCUCUUUCACCGGAGAAGAUAAUGACGGUAUCCGGAGAAGAAGCCCCGGCUAACUUCGUG